Long non-coding RNA from Vombatus ursinus (common wombat), 1075 nucleotides. RefSeq lists it as uncharacterized. The transcript has 3 exons. NCBI's taxonomy places the organism in Eukaryota, Metazoa, Chordata, Mammalia, Diprotodontia, Vombatidae. The record is from RefSeq and is a predicted model, not a curated record.
CGACGGAGCAAACACAACAAGAGCGUCAUUGCCAAGCUAUAAACACCUACAUGGCUGAGUCUGAGUUGACUGUGGAGUAAAAGGGAGCAAGAAGAUGAUGGCAACCAGAACAGUCCCUGGCCUGGGAGAAAAGCCCCAUUCCUGAGACACUUUGAUCCCGUUCACUGGGGGCAAUGACCUCUGACUGCAAAUGUGAUAGGAAUUUAUGCACCACCAUCAGCAACAUCCUGUCUACUUGUGAGGUGGUCUUCGGGGGGCAAGAGAUUCUCCUCCUCUGCUUACUUCCUACUUGGAGAUGAAAAUCAGCUUCACAAGUGCAAGGAAACCAUGUGGCCCUUGAGGGAGCCAUCUACGUUGGGAAACUGGCCAAAGAUGAAAGGACCAAGAAGAGAAAAUUCUGGAUCAUUCCUCAACAAGCAUUUAUUGAUUUCUUUUCUGCUACAGUAGUGUGUAAACUACUUAGGAUGAGCAAUAAUGUUGAUAUGCUUUCAUUCUGUGACAGCGAUAGUCAUGCAUGUAUGCUUCAACUGACACUAGGUUGACUCCAAACAUUUAACUUUGACAAGAUGAAACCAAAUUAAGCUGAUUUUCCCUACCUCUAGUUAGUUCUCUUAUUGGUUCAGUGCUAAAUUUUAUGCCAUACACAUAUUUCAUUGCCCUUUUAAUUCUGUGGUUUUUAAGCAUAUAUUUUUCACUAAGGAAAUAUGCAAAAGUUGUAACUCUUAAUGAGCACACUUAAUAAAUAUUAGAAGUAUUGCAGUGGCUAUUGAUAUGGGGAAGUCAGACAUUUAAAGGAUCAUUAAAGAUUAAAAUGAUACAAGAUUAAUCAUACCAAAGUGCAAAGGAAAAUACAUGAAAACAAAAGUACCAAUGGUGAUUAAAAAAAAUUAUGUCGUUGAUGUAUUCAAACAUACAUUAAUAUCUUGCUAAAUUCUUUUUAUCUCCACCCCACACCCACACAUACAAGAGCUCAAACACAUUAACAAGUAUUGAUUGCCUCUUUUUCUGACCCAAUCAUGUUGGAUACUUCUUUAACUGUUUAAACCUGAAUGGUUGGUACAGAGUCUAACCAGAA